AGCGAACGCUGGCGGCAGGCUUAACACAUGCAAGUCGAGCGGGCGUAGCAAUACGUCAGCGGCAGACGGGUGAGUAACGCGUGGGAACGUACCUUUUGGUUCGGAACAACCCAGGGAAACUUGGGCUAAUACCGGAUAAGCCCUUACGGGGAAAGAUUUAUCGCCGAAAGAUCGGCCCGCGUCUGAUUAGCUAGUUGGUGAGGUAACGGCUCACCAAGGCGACGAUCAGUAGCUGGUCUGAGAGGAUGAUCAGCCACAUUGGGACUGAGACACGGCCCAAACUCCUACGGGAGGCAGCAGUGGGGAAUAUUGGACAAUGGGCGCAAGCCUGAUCCAGCCAUGCCGCGUGAGUGAUGAAGGCCCUAGGGUUGUAAAGCUCUUUUGUGCGGGAAGAUAAUGACGGUAGCGAUAGAAGAAGCCCCGGCUAAAUUCGUGCCAGCAGCCGCCGUAA
Molecule: ribosomal RNA, 451 nt
Filed under: uncultured bacterium
Lineage: Bacteria
Description: partial 16S ribosomal RNA
Rfam family: Bacterial small subunit ribosomal RNA
Source: RNAcentral